Papaver somniferum (opium poppy) is the source of this 2135-nucleotide long non-coding RNA. RefSeq lists it as uncharacterized. The record is from RefSeq and is a predicted model, not a curated record. NCBI's taxonomy places the organism in Eukaryota, Viridiplantae, Streptophyta, Magnoliopsida, Ranunculales, Papaveraceae. The transcript has 3 exons.
UCCCUGUUCUUCCAUGUUCUUCAUCUGGUAGAGAUUUGAGAGAUUAAAUUGAGGUUUGGUGAUCGUGAGGGUUAGGAAAAAAUCAAGCGUGACGGUUGGUGGUGGUGUUGAUGUUGAUUCGUCAUGAGAAGAAGAAGAGAUGUUGAUCUGUAGAGGAAUCAUAAAGUUGGGGUUUGAGUUUAAGUUCAAGAUAUGGGAGAAUAGAGUAUAUCAAGGAUGGAUUGGAGAAUUCUUAUUAGAACUAAAGCUACGGUAGGUGAGGAAUUAGAUGAAACUGAAGAGAUGACUGGGGUUUUGAGGAAUCAGUAAGCUAGGGUUUCUUGAGAAAGAUCAAAUAAGAAUUAGAAGAUGAAGAUGAUGGUUAGGGGAUUGAAUUAACAGUGGGUUUGUUCUUAAUUGAAGCAUAGUUGGAUGUAUUGAGAUUUUGAAUCAGAAAUUAGGAUUCUUAAUAGAUUUGGGAUUUAGGGUUCUUGAGUUUGGGUUGCAGGUGGAACAGAGAUAGGUCUAGUGUUAACUAAAUCAGAAUCAGAGGAAGGUUGAACAAUUGUAAGGAUAAUGGUUUGUGUUCAAUGUAAUUCUUCUUCAGUAAAUUCAAUAUUAUUAAGAUGUGUUAUCAAACUGAAGUAAUUCUUGUUUUAGUUCUGAAUUGAAUAAUGAUAUUGUUGAUGUUAACAAUUUAAGAUGUCUGAGUUGAUGGAAUUGUAAAUGGUGUUUGUAUGGAAGAUAAGAAGAUGAAUUUUGAAUUAGUUUGUGUUGAAAUGUUGGUGGUAGUGGAUAUGAGGAAUCUCAGGUAGUAAUGGGAGUUUAUAGUGAUAAAGAGGAUGAAUUUGUUGGUGAUCUUGGUUCAGUUCUGAAUUAUGAAAUUCCAGGGAAUGAAUCAGUGGGUUUGUCUGUGGUUGUAGAUUAGGUUGUACCUUGAAUUGCAGUUAAUGAAUUUGGUGAAGGAUGAAUAAGCUGAAGUUGUAUUGGUGCUUAUGAAUGUAUUGUCUGGAUAGAAGUCUAGGUAGGAUGAAUGAGUAUGUAAGUUGAACUGGUGUUGCAGGUUGCUGUAGUGAUGUUGUUGAUGAAUCUGGUGAAGACGUUGCAGGUGGUAACGUUGAAGGGUAACUGAAGUCUAGAUGUGACACACAAAUGGAGUUUGGUAGUAUUGCUUUUGUAGUGGAAGUUGUUGAGAAAGAUGUGUAUGUAAUGAUUUGUUUUGGUUCUGGUAUUUCUGAAGUUCAGUUUAUGAAGAAUGGUGAGCAAAGAGUUGUAGGUAGUAAUUGUUGCGAAAGCUUGGAAAAGCUGCAAGUGCAGUUCAUCUUUAUUAACAACGAUCGAUUCAUACAACGAACCAGCGGAUUGGGGAUCUCGAGGUAGAUAUGGAUUGUCAUCAAAUCAGGUACUAAAUAAAGCUUGAAUGAAUUGAGAAGCUAAAAGAGCAUAGGAAUGGUGGCUAGCGACUACGAAAGAGAGACAACAAAGCUCCCGCUAGAAGGCAGUAAAGAACGUGAAGGAAAAAUUACGCAAAGAAUGGAUGCAAUCCGCUGGCGCACCUUUGGCAAGCCGCUUGCAAGAGCUACUCAAGAAGUGGGAUGGGAAGAGAAUCCAAAUCCAUACCCAAGAUAAAAACUCGUUUCCUCACCUGAACCAUCAUAUUUUGUACAACUGCCUAUCAUCCAACAACUCAUCCUCUCGAUGCAUCAACAUUUGAUGGAACUGCUCAGCACCGUAACACAUUUAUCCCUACGUCUAAUCGAACAGAACCCAACUCCAACUCCAUCUUCAUUUCUUUAUCUCUUUCACAUAACCUCUACCUGCAACUCCCCCUCCAUUAACACCAUCGCCCCCACCAUCUCUGCACACAACCACUUCCAUCAUAAACGCCAAUUAAACCUUUAAUCUCUAUCUCUCUCACCCUUAUCUUCUUUCUUAUCAAGAAUAGUAACCCUAGAAGUUAGGUUUGAGAGAAAUAGGUUAGGGUUAUCUUCUACUGUGUAGGAAACAUCAAAUUAAUGAAGUUGCAGAGAUGAAUUAAAGAAGGAAAACACGUUUUGGUGAGUGGGUUGUUAUUAAUUGUCAACUUGAAUUCGAAUUGGGAGAAAUUCAUGUAUAAAUAGGGAUGAGAAUUGUGUUGUAAAAGGCAUGCCCAGAUU